GACGAACGCUGGCGGCGUGCUUAACACAUGCAAGUCGAACGGAAAGGCCUGCUUUCCCUUGUGGAUUGCGGGUACUCGAGUGGCGAACGGGUGAGUAACACGUGAGUGAUCUGCCCCCAACUUGGGUAUAAGCCUGGGAAACUGGGUCUAAUUCCCGAUAGGACUGCAGGGUGGUGCCUGUGGUGGAAAACGAUUUUCUAGUGGUUGGGGAUGAGCUCGCGGCCUAUCAGCUUGUUGGUGGGGUAAUGGCCUACCAAGGCGGCGACGGGUAGCCUGCCUGGGAGCGGGGACGUCCACAUUGGGACUGGGAUACGGCCCAGACUCCUACGGGAGGCAGCGGGGGGGAAGAUUGCACAAGGGGCGGAAGCCUGAGGCGGCGACGCCGCGUGGGGGAUGACGGCCUUCGGGUUGUAAACUCCUUUCGACCGCGAGGAAGCCACCUGGUUGGAAGGGUGGUGACGGUAGUGGAAGAAGAAGCACCGGCUAACUACGUG
This 494-nucleotide ribosomal RNA is filed under the name uncultured bacterium. RNAcentral describes it as "partial 16S ribosomal RNA". It matches the Rfam family "Bacterial small subunit ribosomal RNA", at positions 28 to 507 of the family's 1533-position model. The record is from RNAcentral.